Molecule: long non-coding RNA, 359 nt
Filed under: Nicotiana benthamiana
Lineage: Eukaryota; Viridiplantae; Streptophyta; Magnoliopsida; Solanales; Solanaceae
Description: long non-coding RNA (NBEN_LNC024935)
Source: RNAcentral
CUUGUUGUCACCAUAAUCCCAUGUAGGUUGUCUUUAAAAAUGUCCCAUCAACCACUACUACUGGUUUACAAUAUUCCAAUAACUUAUUGAUGUACAAAACAAAUGCAUACAAGAAGCAUUCAUCUGUUGUCUUCUUCAAUUUAACAACUGAACCAGGAUACGUCUUCUCAAGAAUAUAAAAAUAGUUUGGUAAUUUGUUGUAGGAGUCAGCCGGAUGACCUUUCAAUAACCGUAAAGCUUUUUUCUUUGCCCUUCAUGCUCGCAUGUAGCUUAGGUUCACUCCGUGUUGGGACAACAUGUCAGUUUGUAUGUCCUUUGGUGUGUAAACUGUCUUAGGAUCACAAUACUUUGGCAUGACC